Molecule: ribosomal RNA, 460 nt
Filed under: uncultured bacterium
Lineage: Bacteria
Description: partial 16S ribosomal RNA
Rfam family: Bacterial small subunit ribosomal RNA
Source: RNAcentral
CCUACGGGUGGCAGCAGUGAGGAAUAUUGGUCAAUGGGCGUAAGUCUGAACCAGCCAAGUAGCGUGAAGGAUGACUGCCCUAUGGGUUGUAAACUUCUUUUAUAUGGGAAUAAAAUGUUCCACGUGUGGGGUUUUGUAGAUACCGUGUGAAUAAGGAUCGGCUAAAUCCGUGCCAGCAACCGCGGUAAUAAGGAGGGUCCGGGCGUUAUCCGGGUUUAUUGGGGUUAAAGGGAGCGUAGGGGGAUUGUUAAGUGAGUUGUGAAAGGUUGCGGCUCAACCGUAGAAUGGCAGUUGAAACUGGCAGUCUUGAGUACACGAGAGGUGUGCGGAAUUCGUGGUGUAGCGGUGAAAUGCUUAGAUAUCACGAAGAACUCCGAUUGCGAAGGCAGCAUACGGGAGCGCAACUGACACUGAGGCUCGAAAGUGUGGGUAUCGAACAGGAUUAGAUACCCUGGUAGUC